AUGCAUCUGGUUAAACGAAAAAAAAACCUGUUUAGAGUCGAAGUUAACUAAUUGGGCCACAAAGCCCACCGCGCCUCUAUCGUCGACAAAGAGGAACGCCUGUGCUCACGGUGGUAUGGAAGUGGAAGCACAAAGCAGGAAACAGAAGAUGCGGCGGUGAUCAGAAAGUGACAGCCCAAUGGCAUUGCUGUUGUUUUCUUCUCUUAACUUCUGCAGCUUAUUCCCUUUCCGUCCAACAUCUAAAGCUUGGAUCUUUUCGCAAGUGGUUUGUGCAGCACCUACAAACCGUUUUUUUUUUUUUAUUCUUCUAACUUACAAGUUUCCAUGUCAUGCUGCUGAGACAAAGUAAGGGAGAUUUUGAGCAGCAAUAAAGUCAUAAACAUGCUUCUGAAUUCCGAUAGGUGCUAAGUGGAAGUCUAUUCAUCACCAUUUAGUCCCUCCAAGUGGGCCUACAAUCAUCAUAGGUUUCAUUUCUCUUGGGUCAAGGUGCUCCAGUACUAUCUUAGCUGAUCAAGAAUGGUGAUGGGAGCAAUGAUGCACCAUAGAUUUCUUCUUCAUUUCUGCCCUAUUCUCAAUCAAUGUCUUUCAGGACGUUCAGUUUCUUCAUUGCAAAAUCUUGAGCAGGCUGUUAGAGCGGAACUAGAAGUUAAAAACUAGGUUAAAAUUCCAGAGCUUCUCAUUUCCUCGGAAUCCUGCCAAAAUUCAAAUCCUUUUUCUUUUUUAUUCUUCAAUUCCUCAGAACUUACGAGUGCAAAUUGUUGAUGAAAUGUUGCAAUCUUUUAUACCUAUCAGACCACGCUCCAAGCCCCAGCUAGCUUAUUCCUAUCUUCUUUCUUACACCCUUCAAAGCUCCCAUCCCUUCCCCCUUGCACUAGCUGUCCUCCAAUGGACUUCACGUUCUGGUUGCCUUCCAGUUCCUCAGAGCCAUGUUCUCCUCUCAUCUGCAUGGUUGGACCAGCAUUGUCUGUCUCAUUCUGUAGCUAAUAUUUUACUUCAGAUGCAAUCAAUUGGAUAUCAUCCUGACUGUGGGACUUGUAAUUAUCUGCUAUCAUCUCUAUGUGCUGUUGAUCAACUAGAGUAGGCAGUUAAAGUCCUGAGAGGUAUGGGUGGGGCAGGAUGUGUUCCAGAUUCGAGUAGUUAUGGCACUGUAAUUGGUGCAAUGAGCAGAGUGAGAAAGACUGCUAAAGCACUGGAUUUGAUGAAGCAAAUGGUGGUCCAAUAUGGUUUAACCCCAGACAGGGAACACUGGUGAAAUUGUUGGCAGCAUUACGGGCAAACAGGGAAAUAUGGAAGGCUGUUGAGAUGAUUGAAUUCCUGGAGAAAGAGGGUAACUCUGUUGGAUUUGAGAGUUACGAGUUAGUGAUUGAAGGGUGCUUUGAGAAACGUGAGUACGUUUUGGCUGCAAAGGCUGCAACAGGGAUGACAGAAAAAGGUUUUAUUUAUACCAUAUAUCAGGGUCAGGCAGAAAAUUAUUGAAGGCUUGGCCAAUAUCGAUGAGUGGAAGUUAGCUUGUGCUGUGGGACAAAGAUUUGCAGCACUUAAAUCUUAGUUGUUAAAUUAUUUAUAGUGGGCCAAUUACAAUGCUUAAUGCCGAUCAAGUGACUACAUAUUGCUAAGACCUGUGAAUUUUGCAUUAUGGUGUCUGUGUUCUUUUCUCAAUGACAUUACUGGAAGAUUAUCUCAUUCUUUGAGGCAGAGUAAUGAAGCACAAGGAUCUCAGAUUUGCAAAACAUUUGGGUGUAUAAUUUAUAACGUCAAAGCAUGGAAAAGGGUGAGCAUAUUUGAUGGAACUUGGUUUCAUUUGAAUUGUGGAAUUAAUGUUCCCACUUAGUCUAACUUUAAAUUUGUUAGUUAUUUUGUACCCCAUUCAACAGAAUUUGGCAAUAAAACAGUAUUUUUGUGACUGGAAGUAACUAAAUGUAUAUUAAUUACUCAAAAAAUGCAAGUAUAUUAAAUGCACCUGGCUAUAAAUUCCUGGGUGAAAUCA
Glycine soja is the source of this 1987-nucleotide long non-coding RNA. RefSeq lists it as uncharacterized. The transcript has 3 exons. The record is from RefSeq and is a predicted model, not a curated record. Lineage: Eukaryota; Viridiplantae; Streptophyta; Magnoliopsida; Fabales; Fabaceae.